GAUGAACGCUGGCGGCGUGCCUAAUACAUGCAAGUAGAACGCUGAAGGAGGAGCUUGCUCUUCUGGAUGAGUUGCGAACGGGUGAGUAACGCGUAGGUAACCUGCCUGGUAGCGGGGGAUAACUAGUGGAAACGAUAGCUAAUACCGCAUGACAACAGUUGAUGCAUGAUAACUGUUUAAAAGGGGCAACUGCUCCACUACCAGAUGGACCUGCGUUGUAUUAGCUAGUUGGUGAGGUAACGGCUCAACAAGGCGACGAUACAGAGCCGACCCGAGAAGGGGGACGGCCACACUGGGACUGGGACAAGGCCCAGACUCCUACGGGAGGCAGCAGCAGGGAAUCUUCGGCAAUGGACGGAAGGCUGACCGAGCAAAGCCGCGGGAGUGGAUGAGGGUUUCGGGUCGUAAAACUCCGUUGUAAGAGAAGAACGAGUGUGGGGGUAGAAAGUUCACACUGUGACGGUAUCUUAACAGAAAGCGACGGCUAACUACGUG
RNAcentral lists this ribosomal RNA (495 nucleotides) under uncultured bacterium. Its description in RNAcentral is "partial 16S ribosomal RNA". It matches the Rfam family "Bacterial small subunit ribosomal RNA", at positions 28 to 507 of the family's 1533-position model. The record is from RNAcentral.